RNAcentral lists this unclassified non-coding RNA (168 nucleotides) under uncultured fungus. RNAcentral's name for it is "sequence contains ITS1". Lineage: Eukaryota; Fungi. The record is from RNAcentral.
GUAUUCAACUUUUGUAUUAACCGCCAUUUUGUAAUGACUUGCGUUCGAUUCGAUUUUCGCGCUAAGAAAAAAGGACAAUUCACCGGUGUUUGUAAUGAUAUUGGCGACACGGGACUUGCGUCUUGCGUCUCUUCGCUAAUGAUCCUUCCGCAGGUUCACCUACGGAAA